UUUUAAGAACUAGAUACUAACAC
This 23-nucleotide unclassified non-coding RNA is filed under the name Saccharomyces cerevisiae S288C. RNAcentral's name for it is "3'-intron-lariat from Saccharomyces cerevisiae S288C (PDB 5WSG, chain M)". Lineage: Eukaryota; Fungi; Ascomycota; Saccharomycetes; Saccharomycetales; Saccharomycetaceae. The record is from RNAcentral.